This 496-nucleotide ribosomal RNA is filed under the name uncultured Streptococcus sp. Its description in RNAcentral is "bacterial SSU rRNA". It matches the Rfam family "Bacterial small subunit ribosomal RNA", at positions 28 to 508 of the family's 1533-position model. The record is from RNAcentral. Lineage: Bacteria; Bacillati; Bacillota; Bacilli; Lactobacillales; Streptococcaceae.
GACGAACGCUGGCGGCGUGCCUAAUACAUGCAAGUAGAACGCUGAAGGAGGAGCUUGCUUCUCCGGAUGAGUUGCGAACGGGUGAGCAACGCGUAGGUAACCUGCCUGGUAGCGGGGGAUAACUAUUGGAAACGAUAGCUAAUACCGCAUAAGAGUAGAUGUUGCAUGACAUUUGCUUAAAAGGUGCAAUUGCAUCACCACCAGAUGGACCUGCGUUGUAUUAGCUAGUUGGUGGGGUAACGGCUCACCAAGGCGACGAUACAUAGCCGACCUGAGAGGGUGAUCGGCCACACUGGGACUGAGACACGGCCCAGACUCCUACGGGAGGCAGCAGUAGGGAAUCUUCGGCAAUGGACGGAAGUCUGACCGAGCAACGCCGCGUGAGUGAAGGAGGUUUUCGGAUCGUAAAGCUCUGUUGUAAGAGAAGAACGAGUGUGAGAGUGGAAAGUUCACACUGUGACGGUAUCUUACCAGAAAGGGACGGCUAACUACGUGC